GGGCACUUAGUUCAGUGGUAGAACGCUGCAUUCACAUUGCAGAGGUCGGAGGUUCAAUUCCUCCAGUGCCCA
Parcubacteria group bacterium is the source of this 72-nucleotide non-coding RNA. The record is from Rfam.